GAUAAUCCAAUCGUGCCGUUGAUGGCAGUCCCUGAGCAGCAAUGGCCACUACCUCUGCGGGCGGAGCACCAGCAAGAAUCAGCAUUAGAUGAUGAACACGAAAACAUUGAUCAAAAUGAUCAUGAUAACGAUCGAGAUGAUGAUGAUGAUGGAGAUGAUAGGGAUGAUGAUGAAGACGAAGAUGAAGAUGAAGAUGGAGGAGGUGGGUACAAAAUUGUUACAAACAAGCAGCAAUCUUCAGUUACAAGCACUGCAUUUGAGUAAGCUAUUUAGAGAGAGAAAAG
This 284-nucleotide long non-coding RNA is filed under the name Olea europaea (common olive). Its description in RNAcentral is "long non-coding RNA (OEUR_LNC003851)". Lineage: Eukaryota; Viridiplantae; Streptophyta; Magnoliopsida; Lamiales; Oleaceae. The record is from RNAcentral.